AUUUAGUUGCUGAUAAAUUUCAACCCUCAUUGUCCCUCUUCCCUUGGUGCCUUACAGCUGGGCACACUGACAAGAAAGCUUGAACACUUCCUCCUUUGGCACAAGUAGAAAAUUCGAACUGCACAAGCUUCUGACCACCUACACAUAGGGACCCACAUCCCAGCCAGACCUCAUAACAACAAUGAAAACUCUAAGCUGGUAUCAUAGACUGACUGACUUAAGCAGCAGAUGUCAAAUUUUGGGUAAGAGUCCAUCCUGCCAUAGACCAAAGCGGCCAUAUAGGGAUAUUUAAAAAUGUAGACUCUAGGGUGUAGAGAAAAGGGAACCAUUCUACACUGUUUGUGGCAAUGUAAAUUAGUGCAACCACUAUGGAGGACAGAAUGGAGGUUUCUUUAAAAAUUAACUACAGACCUACCAUAUGACCCAGCAAUCCCACUCUUAGGCAUCUAUCCAGAUAAAACUCUAACUGGAAAACUUAUAUGCCCUCCAACGUUCAUUGCAGCACUAUUUACAAUAGCUAAGACAUGGAAGCAACCCAAAUCUCCACUGACAGAGGAAUGGAUAAAGAAGAUGUGAUACAUAUAUACAAUGGAAUAUUAUUCAACCAUAAAAACAAAUGAAAUAAUGUCAUUUGUAGCAACACAGAUGGUCCUAGAGAUUAUCAUACUGAGUAAGAUAAGUCAGACAGAAAAAGACAAAUAUCAUAUAUCACUUAUAUGUGGAUUCUAAUAAAAAGUGAUACAAAAGAACUUAUUUGAAAAACAGCAACAAACAGAUUUCAAAACCAGUCUUAUGGUUACCAUAGGUGAAAACUUUGAGGGUGAAACUGAGCAGGCUCCUGGGCACAAAAGCCUGUGCCCCCCAUUUCUUGUUUUUAGGAAGUGGGCUUCAUUCAGCCUCCAUGGCCUUCCCUGAGUUCUAAGGGGCAGGUUUUGACAGUUGAUCAUCAGGAAAGGGAAGGGAUGCAAAGCCAAGGGAGGAACAGUCAAGCCGCAAUAGUAUAACCUUGGGGCAGUAUCCUAGUUCCCCCCUCAAGAGAUACACAUAAUGAUAUAGGCAUCUUAUACACCUAAAAGAAAUGUUAUAUUCCUUAUGCUUCUUUUAGAAAUUAUACUUUAUUUUUGUCUUUUUAGGGCUGCACUCACAGAAAGUGGAAGUUCCCAGGCUAGGGGUCAAAUCAGAGCUGCAGCUGCCAGCCUAAGCCACAGCCACUGCAACACCAGAUCCAAGCUUCAUCUGUGACCAACACCACAGCUGGUGGCAAUGCCAGAGCCUUAACCCAAUGAGCAAGGCCAGGGAUAGAACCCUCAUCCUCGUGGAUACUAGUCGGGUUCGUUACUACUGAGUCACAAUGGGAACUCCCUAGAAAUGAAUACUUUGAAAAGGAACAGCUUGGAGCCCUUCCUUGCGCUCCUCCCUCACCUGACUGCAUCCUAAACACAAUUACCUGUAAACUAAAGAUUAGGAACCCUAAGCACAACUGCCUGUGGGUUAAAGAUUAUUAGCAUGUGAUGUUUUUCAGGAACUUUCCUAGUUUGUUCUAAUCUCAGAUCAAUAUGCCUUUUUUGCAGGUACUAUUAUUUUAGGCAAUAACCCAGAAGACCAUCACCAGAAUCAUGUUGAGAUCUCCUGAUGCCAGCCUCAAACACUAAGAUUCUGCAAAAGAAAGAAUGCAUAUCUGUCCCAACCCUGAUUCUUAUCUGAAACCCUGUUUUUCUCCUUUUAGACUAUAAAACUCCCUGCAAUUCUUUCCCACAUUCUAUAAGGCAUUAUCCUCCUGUAGCCUCCUUUGCGUGGCAAAGCAAUAAAAGCUGUUUUUUUCUCCUUCACCCAAAACCCUGUCUCCCCAUUCCUAUUUAUCACCAGUGGACAGAGGCUGAGUUUUGGCAACAGGGAGAGGGAAGAAUUGGGAGGGUGGGAAUAACAUAUACACACUACUGUAUAAAAUAGAUAAUUAACAAGAACAUAUUGCAUAGCACAGGAAAAUCUACUCAAUAGUUUGUAAUAACCUAUAUGGAAAAAAGAAUGGAUAUGUGUAUGUGUAUGACUGAUUCACUUUGCUGUACACCUGAAACCAAUACAACAUUGUUAGUCAACUAUACUCCAAUAAAAUUAAAAAAAAAAAAAGCAAAUCCUGAAGCAAAUCACAAGGGAAAAAAAGGAAGAAUAUACACGCUAGUGCUUGCUUCCCACAUAAGAGAAUUUGGAGGUCAGAGGCUGACUAGAGCCACCUGCAGUGGCAGAGCAAGAAAAGCAAUCAGUGUAACUUACUACAAUGUUACCUGUUUGGGGGGCAAGGAUGUGUGAGUCUGUGGGCCAAGAGAACUCAAGGAAGCUACUUCAAUGGUACUUUACUCAAGAGGGCUAAGAACCAGGACAAAAGGAUCUCAGCAAUAAGAAGCUGUGUAACAGAACACCAGGAGCAGAAGCUGGGAAACUCAUAAAGUGUCACCACAUUAUCUAUCCACAGUAGGAAACUGUGCAUUUUGUUGGUACCAGCAGAGGUCACCAGACAACCCAAACAUACACCCACAUCAUAGCCAGCUAUGGAAUUUUACAGUGAUAGUGGACAUGAAAACAGGACAGUAUCAAAUAAGAACUCCACUGACUCUAGCAAUUAAAUUCUUUUAUCUCUCUUCUGCUCCCUCCUCCUGUAUCCCAAUCCUGGAAGAGCCAAAAAAAUUAUGGAGUCAGGAUGAAGCUAAAAAACAAAAUAAUUAAAGAACAAAUUCUACCUUUUCUUCACUUCUCUGGACUAGUGGAGAGGAAAGGUCUUGAAUUACAUGUGAGACCUCUGGCUUCUGCUUAAGAUGCAGAAAUCUGAAAAGAACAUCCCACCCUUAUUAACAAUAAUAGCAACAAUGGUAACAACAAAGCCAGACAACCUGGAAAUUCACAACUCUUUCAGAACCUAUUAGAGAGCUAAAGUGAUAGAAUAACCAGCUAACCUGAAAUCUAAGGAAAGAGCCUCCAAAGAGAGAUGGGACAUGAGCUCUUGCUUACCUGUCACAAUCACCAAUAGAUGUUGACCAGAAAAAUAAACUAAAAUUCUUUUUUUCUUUUUACAGCUGCACGUGAAGCAUCUGGAAUCUCCUGGGCUAGGGGUUGAAUUGGCACUGUAGCUGCUGGCCUACAUCACAGCCACUGCAAUGCCAGAUCCGAGCCACAUCUGCAACCUAUAACAUAGUUUGCAACAAUACCAGAUCCUUAAGCCACUGAGCAAGGCCAGGGAUCAAACCUGUAUUCUCAUGGACACUGUUGUGUUCUUAAUCCACUGAGCCACAACAGGAACUCCCUCAGCUAAAAUUUUUAACCAAUUACUAAAGGCCAGUUGUGGGCUACCAAGAGAAUAUAGGACCCUUGGAGGCUGCAGACACAAGAGGAAUUCAUAACCACUCACAGGCCCUUCUCUAUGUCCCUCACUGAGCACUUACAAAAAGGCCUAGGAUAAGAGCAACAGUCCUGAGAAAGUGUCCUUCAUGGUGCAGGCCUAGGGAAGGAAGACGGCAGCCACUGUGGGAAAGGCAGAAGCCCCACUGGAUCUGUCUCCCCUACCUCCCCAUAGGAAUGAAAGCUUUAUCCACUCUGUGAAGGUAAAUGCGCUCACCCAAAGGCACUGUGGAAACCCACUGCAGGUAAAAGAAGAAACAGAACCGAACACUUUACCCCUGAGGAAGAGGCAGAAUACAUGCUGGGCCCAGAAUUACAGCAGGAAGAAGGGCAUGAGCACAGAGAAUGCAACCCCCACCCAAGAUCCAGGGACAUAAUACCUUCCUACGACUAAGGGUUAGUCAGUAUAGCAUAGCCCCAUCUCCCACCUCCAGGAUAACACACUUCUAGUGACAAGUAAUAGUUCUGCCGUUGAGAGCAAAAGAGUGGAGAUAGCCCCUCUCUGAGGAGUGGGGUAAAGGGAACCAGGAAACAGAGGGCAUCCUUGGAUGAGUUCUGAAGAGACUUUAAUGAAGGGAUCAUUUACAGGGGAAGGCUGGUUCUGGAACUAACAAUAAGGAAUGCUGAGGCACUGAGAGAUAGACAACAGUAGAAAACUAUUAAAGCUUGAAGCAGUGAGGAGAGGAGAUAGUGUAACUGGAGUGAUAGCUACAGCCAAGCAAGCAAGGCCACUGGAAGGAAUUAUGACUAUUUUAAAUCCCUCUCUCCUCUAGCUCUCUGAUCUGCUACAGGUGUCUCCCAUAAGCUGAUCCAACCAGUCAGAGGGCCAGGGAGUUGGGUACAGAACAGAGCUGAGAAGGGUAGAAAAUGGAUGCAGCAGGUGCACAUGGAUAAUACCUAGCGUGAUACAGCCUAGCUUUCCUCCUACCAUAGGUAGUCUCCAUCUCCAGGGCCUUGGCAGCCUCUCCUCCUCAGGGUACAGACUGAGGCUUUCUUCUCUUUUCUUUCUAACCUCUCUCUAGGUGGUAUCAUGCAUUUCCAUGGCUUGUGACAUCAUUGGUGUGCUGAUUACUCUUAAAUUUAUAUUACUCCAGUCCUCUCCUUGAAUCAGAUCCAACUAUCUUGACAGCGAGGGCGCUCCAGUGUCUCAGACACUGCAUUUCUCACCCAUCUAAGUCUAUUAAUAGUCUUAAUUUCCCCCUCCCCAGUAUCCAAGUCAUCAAAUCCUAUCAAUUCCAACACUAAAAUAUAUUCCCUAUCCAUCCAUCCUUUCUCCUUGUCACCCUUACCACUGUAUUACUUCUUAUGUUGAUACUACUUUCUCCUCCUCCAAGCCACUCUGGACUCAGUAAACAGAGGGAUCAUCUUAAAAUGUAGGCUAGAUCAUACUACUGCCCUAUUUAAACUUUCCAAUGACUACCUUUUCCUUCCUCAUCUCUGCCCACUCCUGCUUACCACUAUCUAGGCACAAUGGAUUUUUCAUAUGUCCUCACAGAAGCCAAACUCUUUCCUAACUCAGGGAUAACACUCCCCCUGCAAGUGGCUGCUCCCACCUGGCCCCAGGCUUCAGAAGCUGUCUCCUCAUCCUUCAGACUGACUUAAAGUCUCCUCCUCAGGAAGUCUUUCCCUGGCCAUCUUAGUUUAUGUAAGUUCUUUCUCCAUCCCACUGUUUUCUAUUUUCACAUCUACUUUAUUCCUUUCUUAGUAUUAAUCACACUCUAAUUUUUAUUUGCUUGGUUGUGUUUUGUCAUUCUCUCAUACUAGACUUCAAAUUCUAUAAAGCAGUGGCUAUUACGCCCUGUAACCAUUUCAACUCCCUUAUAUCCCCUGAGCUUACUAUAUUGCCUGGCAUAAAGCAGGUAUUUGAUAAAUAUUUCACAACACAUUAUUACACUUUCCAUGUGGCAGAGACUACGCUUAGUUCCAUAAAAAUA
This 5324-nucleotide long non-coding RNA is filed under the name Sus scrofa (pig). RNAcentral's name for it is "lncRNA (ENSSSCG00000045810.1, ENSSSCG00090023448.1)". The record is from RNAcentral. Lineage: Eukaryota; Metazoa; Chordata; Mammalia; Artiodactyla; Suidae.